Long non-coding RNA from Loxodonta africana (African savanna elephant), 11308 nucleotides. RefSeq lists it as uncharacterized. The record is from RefSeq and is a predicted model, not a curated record. NCBI's taxonomy places the organism in Eukaryota, Metazoa, Chordata, Mammalia, Proboscidea, Elephantidae. The transcript has 2 exons.
UCUAACCCUGCUUGAACACUGGUUCAAUGUAACAGUUUUCAUGUAUUUCUCUGUCGGUAAAAUAAAUUAGUUUAGUUUUUUACUCUCUUAAAAACUCAAAUUAUUUAAUAAUUUAGAUAACCUUCUCCUUAGAGUCCAGGGUAUUUAAUUCUCUGAAAAUGCAGAUGUGAUAGUUUGAACUCGUCUGGAAGAAAUCCUCAUGAUUUCUAGUUGCCCGGCUAUGAUUACAGUAGAAAAUAAUAAACAUUUCUCUGGUGUUAAAAAUCCUGAGGGUGACCAUAUGCUAUCAGUUAUGUUUAUAGAAUGCCUCAGUGCUGCAGAGUUGAGAGAUGUGUUGUGUUAAGGAAUUGGUUCUGUCUGCUGUCUCAUUCAUCAGGCUUCAUCUUUCUCCCUCAUCUGUACCUGGGCUCUAUAAAGGACAGGCCGAGCUGGUUGGUUUUUGUGACACUCCUCCCUUUAUUUUUCUCUGUAGGUGACAUUCAUUUCAUUUUUUUCUAUAGAAAAACAUUUUAUUUCUGUUAUAGUUAAUAGCUAAGAGCUUGAAGUAAACAAGAAAUUAUAUGGCAUGAAAUAUGAGUCAAUCUUUCCUUAUUACUGCAGCAUAGAAGACGUACAUGCUGUUGACUGAGAGAGAGCUAUUCAUAUAAAACAUUGAGGCACAUAGAUCAAAUUUCCAGGAAGUUAUGAUUAUUUUUGUCUGAAAAAUUCUAUCACUUUAUUAUGCCUUCUAAAUACAGACUAGAGCUGAGAUUUUAAAUUACAUUUUGAUAAAGUCAAGAGUGAUAGAUUUUUUUUUCUCUUUAUGUCUUUGCUUCUGUGUUAAAAUCUAGACCAAACUAUGCCUACACAGCCUCUGUCUACAGAGAGCCUGUAAGUUAGCAAAAAAAUCAGUAAACAUGUAAUUAUAAUUAUUGAUUUCUCAUACAGUGUCCAGCAUGUCCCUAAUGCAAUUUGGGGAUACCUAUUAAAGGCACGGUUGGUACAAAAAGAAUUUACCGUUAAUUUUGCUGAAGGACAAGAUUAAGGUUAUGAAAUUGCUGCUAUUCAAAUGCUUUUGGCUUAAGAAAAUGGCAACUGCAUAUGAUUCAAAGUAGUAAUUGUGAAUGACAAAACAAUAUAUAAUUAGAUGUCAAAUUAUGGGAUAUAAACUAGAAGGACUAUAGAGGCUUUUGUAGGUACAGUAGAAGGAGGCUGGAUUAGUGGGAGAAUGUUGUGUGGAUGGAUAUUGUUGGGAGAAGUGAAGAUGACUGUGGUAGGCAUCCCAGGCAAGAAAAGCUGUGAAGGUGAGUGCGAACAGGGAGUGAAGUUCAGAUGACUAGCUGGGGAUGGGCUGGGGCUGGGCUGGGAAAGAAUGGAACAGGGAAAGCCAGCUGGGCUGCUAUAACACUAAUCAUAGGUCUGAAGAUCCCAGCUAGGGCACUGGUACAAAUGGAAGAGAUAUAUUCCCUGGAGGAUGAGAAACAUACUCAAGGGAAUAUAUUUCCCCCUGGCUGGACACGAUUCCUACUCUCUGAAUCCACCUUGUCCAUCACUCAUGCAUCAGUGAUAUUUAUGUUCCGGUUAGGUGUUAGAUCUGGCGAUAGGUGCUGUGUGUACCAGACACAGUUUCUGACCUCUGGUGUAGUAUUGCUGGUUAAGUACAUAUGUCUUAUCUCCUCAAACCAAUGAUAAGUUUUAGUGGAACACGGACCAUGGAUUUUUGCACUCAUUCUUUGAAAAUUGUAAUAAGUGACUAUAUAUGACAGCCAUUAUUGACAUAAAAAUGAAAAGCCACAUUUUGGCUCUCAAAAAGAUUCAGACAAGCAGUUAUAAUCAAAUAUGAUAAUUGUUACCAGCCAAUUGCAAUGAGAUUAAUCCUUAAAUUUUCCUGGAAGUGUUAAAGACUUCAAAGAAUAAUGAGCUUUUGAGCUGAGACUUAAAGGGUAGAGGUGUUUUGGAGGAAUGCAGGUGAAGCAUGGGUGGCUCAGGGAGAUGGAACAGCCUGUAAAAAAGGUGAUGUGAAGGGCACAGUGACAUGUCACAGGAUGUACAUAUGUGCUAAUAUUGCUGACUGUAGGGUACAAUGGGGAAAAGAGAUUGUGCAAAUGCGCAGGGGCUGGAUUAACACCCACGGGUAUUAUGCAAGAGAGCUUAGGUCAUAUGUUAUGAUGAAGCAUGUUGAUUAGGCAAGAUAUAUGUAGACUUGUAGGUUAUAACGAUUCCCUGUAGAAAAAUUCAGAUAGAGAGAAAGAGGGGCAUGAUUGGGCAGGAGGAUGGGAAGAGAGGCUACUGAAGCUGUCUGUGACAGGUAAGCCAGGAGCAAUGAGGAUAGAAAGGAGGAGAAAAUAUAGAAAGUAAUUGAGAGGUAAAAAUGGACAGACCUUGGUGUUUGAUGGAAUGUAGGGGAUAAAAUGGAGAGAGGACAGGGACCUCAUCUGUCUUGUUCAUCGCUGUAUCUUCAGUACCUACAAGAAUGCCUUAUCUAGGUGCCCAGUAAGUAUUUGUCAAAGUGAAAGGAAGCAAGAAAUCCAAAUGACUCCUAGGUUUCUAGCUGAAACAGAAUGUUUACGCCAAUCACCAAGAGAAGGGACACAGAGGAGAAGGUUAUCUAUUCACCCAUGGACCACUGUGAGACAUCUAGGUGGUUUCUAGAAGUGCCAGCCUAUGAGACACGCUUUAUAGUGGUGCGGGACAAGAAGAAGAGCUAAUGAAGGAACUGCCAAAUAUGACUGCAGGGAGCAGAGAGAUGGUUAGGUUAGGUGACAAUCAUGUCAAGAGAGACUUUCAAGUUGUGUGUUUGACAGUCAAGAUGUCCAGAGAAUUCAGUGAUGAGAAUGAAGUCUGGCAAAAUCAAUGUUCUGUUUUGGAGGACUCAGGGAAGAGUGUCAUUAAUAUUGGGAAUAAAAGUCCUUUGUGUGGACAUACCAGAAGUUAGAAGCUGACUUACAUUUCAAGUGAUUAUAUAAACUCUGUAGCUUUGUGCAUCUCUUACCCUGAGAAAGAUUAAAGGAACAUAUGGAACAUUUCCAUCAUAAUAACCAAUAUUAAGUCAGAGAUCAAUAUUAAUAAACAAUAAGAAUAAUACCUAAAAGUGAUGAUACCACUACUAAAAACACUGACUCAGGUCAUCAUUUCUCUCAUAUAGAACAGGCAAUUGUAAAUUGUAUGGUUAAUAUUUCAUCAUAUAACAUGUUUUAAAGGAAUAUGCAUUGAUUAAUACAUUUUUUCUACAUAAAUUGAUGAAUCAUCCUUAUUUUAUAAUAUUAAGGGUGGUAACCUUAGUCCAUCCCUGUUUGUGAUCUAAUUUAGAGGGUCCCUAGAGGUUUUUUUUUUUUUUAGACAUUGCUCUCAAAUAUUAGUUACAUAAAAAGCAACCAAGGCACUUAAUAAAAUUCUUCUUUCAAUUCAAACCCGAUAAAAUUCUUCUUUUAAUUCAAAGCCCUUAACAGACAACAUGUGAUUCUGAUACAGGUAAGAGGAGGCACUGCUUGGAGAAACACUGUCUUGAAGAGCGAUUUGUUGCAGCUUGCAUUUUUCUUAAACUGGUAUUCUUGCGCCCUCAAGUGGUACCGUGCGGAAUUCUGCAGCAGUAUAUUGACUGGGAACUGCCAGAAAUUGAGGCUGGUUUCAGAAGAGGAUGUGGAAACAGGGAUAUCAUUGCUGAUGUCGGAUGGAUCCUGGCUGAAAGCAGAGAAUACCAGAAGGAGGUUUACCUGUGUUUUAUCGACUAUGCAAAGGCAUUCAACUGUGUGUACCAUAACAAAUUAUGGAUAACAUUGUGAAGAAUGGGAAUUCCAGAACACUUAAUUGUGCUCAUGAGGAACCUUUACAUAGAUCAAGAGGCAGCUGUUUGGACAGAACAAGGGGAUACUGGUUGGUUUAAAGUCAGGAAAGGUGUGGAUCAUGGUUGUAUUCUUUCACCAUACCUAUUCAAUCUGUAUGCUGAGCAAAUAAUCCAAGAAGCUGGACUAUAUGAAGAAGAACGGGGCAUCAGGAUCUGAGGAAGACUCAUUAACAACCUGCAUUAUGCAGAUGACACGACCUUACUUGCUGAAAGUGAAGGGAACUUGAAGUACUUACUAAUGGAGAUAAAAACCACAGCCUUCAGUAUGGAUUGCACCUCAACAUAAAGAAAACAAAAAUCCUCACAACUGGACCAAUGAGCAACAUCAUGAUAAAUGGAGAAAAGAUUGAAGAUGUCAGGGAGUUCAUUUUACUUGGAUCCACAAUCAACAGCCAUGGAAGCAGCAGUCAAGAAAUCAAAAGAUGCAUUGCAUUGAGUAAAUCUGCUGCAAAGGACCUCUUUAUAGUGUUGAAGAGCUAAGAUGUCACCUUGAAGACUAAGGUGCGCCUGACCCAAGCCAUGGUAUUUUCAAUUGCAUCAUAUGCAUGUGAAAGCUGGACAAUGAAUAAGGAAGACCAAAGAAGAAUUGAUGCCUUUGAAUUGUGGUGUUGGUGAAGAAUGUUGAAUAUACCAUGAACUGCCAAAAGAAUGAACAAAUCUGUCUUGGAACAAGCACAACGAGAAUGCUCCUUAGAAGCAAGGAUGGCGAGACUGUGUCUUACAUACUUUGGACAUGUUGUCAGGAGGGAUCAGUCCCUGGAGAAGGACAUCAUGCUUGGCAGAGUACAGGGUCACCGGAAAAGAGGAAGACUCUCAACGAGGUGGAUUGACACAGUGGCUGCAACAACGAGCUCAAGCAUAACAACAAUUGUAAGGAUGGCUCAGGACUGGGCAGUGUUUUGUUCCAUUGUGCGCAGGGUCACUAUGAGUCAGAACUGACUUGAUGGCACCUAACAACAACAACAGCUAGUGAUGGUGAGCAUUUCCUCAUGUGUCUGUUAGCUGCCUGAAUGUCUUCUUUGGUGAAGUGUCUGUUCAUAUCCUUUGCCCAUUUUUUAAUUGGAUUAUUUGUCUUUUUGUUGUAGAGGUGUUGGCUUUUCCCAUAGAUUUUAGAGAUUAGACCUUUGUUGGAUACGUCAUAGCCAAAAACUUUUUCCCAGUCUGUAGGUUCUCUUUUUACUUUUUUGGUGAAGUCUUUUGAUGAGUGUAAGUGUUUAAUUUUCAGAAGAUACCAGUUACCUAACUUAUCCUCUGGUGUUUGUGUAUUGUUAGUUACGGUUUAUAUCCUAUUUAUGCUGUAUAUUGGAGCCUCUAGCAUUGACCAUAUUUUUCUUCUAUGAUCUUUAUGGUUUUGGCUUUAUAUUUAGGUAUUUGAUCCACUUUGAGUUAGUUAUUGUGUAUGGUGUCAGGUAUGGGUCCUGUUUCAUUUUUCUUCAGAUGGGCAUUCCAUUUUGCCAGCACCAUUUGUUCAAAAGACUGUCUUUUUCGUAUUUAAUGGACUUUGGGCCUUCACUGAAGAUCAAAGUGACUGUAGGUGGAUGGAUUUACAUCUGGGUUCUUAAUUCUGUUCCAUUGGUCAAUGUGUCUGUCAUUGUAUCAGUACCAGACUACCACAGCUGUACAGUAGGUUCUGAGGUCAGGUAGUACGAGUCCUCCUACUUUAUUCUUUUUCUUCAGUAGUGCUUUAGUUAUCCAGGGCCUCUUUUCUUUGCAUAUAAAGUUAAUGAUUAGCUUUUCCAUCUAGUUAAAGAAUGUUAUUGCUAUUUGGAUUGGGAUUGCAUUGUAUUUGUAGAUUGCUUUGGGUAGAAUUGACAUUUUCACAAUGUUGAGUUUACCUAUCCAUGAGCAUUAACCACCAACAUUUAGGUUAGCAGCCAACUAAAAACUGCUUGUGCCACCCAGGGACCUUUAGUAGGAACAGAAAAUGGUAAAACAAGUUCAGGGACAAAUGUGGACAGAAAUGGAUGGAUACAGCAAUGGGCUCAAACAUAACAAUCAUUGUGAGGAUGUCGCAGGACCAGGCAGUGUUUCCUUCUGUUGUACGUAUGGUUUCUAUGAAUCAGAACGAACUCAAUGGCACCUAACAGUGACAACAACAACAUUAGCCAGUUACCCUCCCUUUUUGUCCAGGCUGUGAUCUUCUUAUGGCAAACUCUUCCCCUCCUUCUUUACUCUGUUUACUUCCUAAUAGUCCCAGCUGUCUUUUCUUUUCCCACCCCAAGAGGACCACAGGAAACAGAAAGAGGAUUUGCCUUUACCCUCCCACCCUAUCUCUUGGAAUGGCAUUCCCAAAGAAAACAAUGUUCUUAGGAUUUAUUUUAAUUGGUUCAGGACAACUUGUUAGAAGGAAGGAGUGUUGUCUUGAUUACCUUAUGUUGCUUCCUUCUCCUCAGGAGAUGCUGGAUCUCCAGGGAAGUAGUAAAACUAGAAUUUUUACAAGUCUUAAGAAAUAUUCUUGCUUCGGUAUCUAAUGCUUAAAACAAAAGAGCUUUUCACGUCUGGUUAAAAUUGUUUACACAGCAAAUAACUGUACUAAAUUGGGAAAAAGUUCUAGUUAUCAGAAGCUUUUAUUUCUGUGUUUUCUUUUGUUCCAUGUGACUGUUCAAGUAGGGUAUUUGUUUGGAAUAAGCUGAAUACUUUGCUAUGAUAUUUUAUCAAAAUCUUAUCAGCUAAUUUGGUGGGAAUUAUGGCCUAGGAUAAGUGUAAUUUUACUCAAAACUCAUUAGAAUCUAAAGUAGGGAUUUUGAGACAUGUAAUGACUUAUAUUUAUUUAUUAUCUAAUGAAAGAAUUUACUGUGUGUGUUCUAGAGGUAAUAAAACUCCUCCCAUCAGGUCUUUCACUUUCAGUAGUGUGGAGUAUAGGGUGGUCGAGGGAAAUGGAAUGUACUGGAGUUGAAACAGAAUAAAAACACUGAGAGUCUUUUCUGCUCUGACAGGGAUCACAACAGAGGGUACCAGACAGAGCUGCAGAAAAAUGUAGAACAAAAUUCUAACUCACAAAAAAAGGCCAGAUUUACUGGUCUGACAAGGACUAGAGAAACCCCGAGAGUACGGCCCCAGACACUCUUUUAAUUCAGUACUGAAGUCACUCCCGAGGUUCACCUUCAGCCAAAGAUUAGACGGGUCCAUAAAACAAAACGAGACUAAAGAGGCAUAUCAGCCCAGGGGCAAGGACAAGAAGGCAGGAGGGGACAGGAAAGCUGGUGAUGGGGAUCUCAAGGUUGAAAAAGAGAGAGUGUUGACAUGUCGUGGGAUUGGCAACCAACCAUGGUAGCAUAGUGGUAAAGUGCUACAGCUGCUAACCAAAAGGUCGGCAGUUUGAAUCCACCAGGCACUUCUUGGAAACUCUAUGGGGCAGUUCUACUCUGUCCUGUAGGGUCACUAUGAGUCGGAAUUGACUUGACAACAACGGGUUUGGUUUUUUCUUUUUGAUUUGGUCACAAAACAAUAUGGGUAUUAAUUGUUUAAUGAGAAACCUAAUUUGCUCUGUAAACCUUCACUUAAAGUACAAUAAAAAAAAAAGUCUUUUAAUGUUGGCAUUAAAAGCAGUGAAAAUAUAAUUCAAUUAAAUUUAAUACUAAAAUAGAAAGCAGAAUGAUUUUCUUUUUAACUUUUCUACCUGUUAAUAAUUUAUCACUGAGUCUACUUAAAAAUGAAGUACAUUUAGGUAAGAUCAAAAAAUUCAUAUUUCAUUUAUAUUUCACUGUCAGGCCCUGUGCUAGAUGCUGUUGGCACGAAGGUAAAUAAAGCACAGUCCCUACCCUCAAGGAAGUAGUGUGUGGUCAAUAAAUUUAUUCAACUGAACUGGACAGAAAGUUGAGGCUUGGCUGACAACCAGAAAUUAACCUGGCAAACGAAGGGGAAAUGUUUCAGGUAGAAGGAACUGGAUGUUCUGAGGUGUAGAGGCCAAAACAUGUUAUACUCAGGGAUCUCACUAAGUUUGAAAACUUUAGAAAGGAGUAUAAAAAGGGAGAGUGGAAGGAACUGAAAUAAGAUAGUCAGACAGAGGUCAGAUAAUGAAGGGCUUGAUAUUUUCCCCAUAAUCCUUCAGUAGUUGGGCAAUGAUAGAUGUUAUCUUUUACAAAUAUCACUCUGAUGUCUAUGUGAAGGUCAGAUUAGGCACAGAGGGCUGGAGGACCAACCUUCAGUCAAGAAUGAAAAAGAGGAGUUUGAUGAUAAUCAAGAAAUCUUAACAAGGAGUUAAGCUUACUCAGAAUUAUAAGUGUAAGGAAAUUUAUGGUAACUCAUUGAAAAGGGUAUGGUGUGGCAUUUAUCUAAAUAGUUAAGUAAUAGAAAUGUGUUAUCAAUGUUAGUGUCCAAUCUGAAUUAAGUGUAUGACACAAUUUUAUACCAUUAAAAAGAAACACAAACUAUAUUGAAGGUUGAGAAUAACCAGGCACACAGGAGUGGCUCUGUCAGGUCCUCAGCAUUUCUUAGUCUAGAGCUGUACUGUCCAAAAUCAGAGCCACUCACCCCAAGUGGCCACUGAGCACUUGGGAUAUGGCUGGGCCUGAUUCAGAUGGGCUUAGUAUGAAAAAAUGAAUAUAAACUAGCUUAUUCAUAAUAUUUUAUAUGCAUUAACUAUUAGGUUAAAUAAAAAGAGAAGCAAGUAUCUCUUGACAUGGAAGGUCUUCCUUUCAAAUUUUUACCACUGUUUUAGUUAUCUAGUGCUGCUAUAAAAGAAAUACCACAAGCGAGUGGCUUUAACAGAAAUUUGUUUUUCACAGUUUAGGAGGCUAAAAGUCUGAAAUCAGGGUGCUGGCUCUAGGGGAAGGCAUUCUGUCUCCGUGGGCUCUAGAGGAAGGUCCUUGUCUAUUUAGCUUUUUUCCUGGUUCCUUGGAGAUCUCUAUGUGGCUUGGCAUCAAUUGUCCCCCAUCUCUGCUUCUCUCACUUGCUUGUUUAAUCUCUUUUAUAUCUCAAAAGAGGUGGACUCAAGAUAUAUGCUACACUAAUCCUGCCUCAUUAACAUAACAAAGACAACCCAUUCCCAAAUGGGACUAUAACCACAGGCAUAGAGGUUAGGAUUUACAGCACAUAUUUUUGGGUAAUACAUUUCAAUCCAUAACAACCACCCAUUCAGAUUAUCUUCUCUAUCUAGCCUUUGAAACGUCUUAUGCUAAGGUCGCCAGUGACCACCAUCUUUCCAAUGUCAAUUUACUGUGUUCAUAUUACUCAGCCUCUCAAAAGCAACUGGCAUUGUGAUUAUUCUUUUUCUCUUUAAAUUUUUUUUCAUAAUUUCCAGGAAACUGUGCCCUCCUAUUGUUCUUCCUACAUCAAUAAUCAUCCCCCCUCGUUCUCCCUUCCUUCCAGUUAUCUUCAUCUAGAAUCACUCUCUAGUUAAUCUUAAGUAACAUCCACAGGUGGUUUUCCUGAGUAAUAUUCUCUAUUCCUGACUUCUUCCCACAGCUUCAGAUUCAUACGUCCAACUGUCUACUAAAUAUCUACAUUUAUAUGUUCAACGGGAAUUUCAGACUGAACAUAGAGAAGACAGAACUCUUUAUUCUUUUAUCUUUAUAACCUUUUCCCCCAACCCAUCUCUUUCCCAGUCUUCCUUCUUUUUGCUGGGAAAACUAGACAUCAUUCUUAAAUUGUUUCUCUCUCUGUCACCUCGACCUAUCCUCUGUCAAAUCCUGUUAACUUCAUCUUCAAAAUACAUCCUGAGUGCCACUACUUCUCACCACCUCCAUCAAUGUUACCAUAGUUCAAUGCACUAUUUUCUCUAGCCUGAACUACUGUACUGUAUUUGUUUCUCAACUAGUUUCCCUUUUGCCACUUUUGACCCCUUACAGUCUAUUUUCCAUAUGACAGUGUGAAAUUUUUUAAAUGUGAAUUACGUAUUCAAAGCCCUCCAAUGUCUUCCCUUGACUUUGAAACAAAAUAAAACUCCUUAACAUAGCCUAUAACGUUCUACUCUUCAAAUUUGGUUUAUGCCAGUUUUCUCCUGCUCAUUCUGCUCCAGCCACUUCGAACAAGCCAAGCACACUCCUGGCCCAGGGCCUUUGGUCUUGCAGUUUUCUCUACCUGAAACUUAUUCUCCGUGAAACGUGCAUGGCUUCCUCCUUCACUUUCUUCAAGACUCUGUUCAAGUAUUACCUCUUCAAAGAGGUCUUUUCUGAUGACCCCAUUAAACUAUUAAUCCCCUCAUAAAACAAACAAAAACUUGUUGCUGUUGAUUUGAUUCUGAUACUGUACUCCAUAUAUAAGGUUUUCAGUGAUUAGUUUUUCAGAAGUAGAUUACCAGGCUUUUCUUCUGAGGUCCUUCUGGGUGGAUUCUAACCACUAACCUUUUGUUUAGUAGCUGAGAGCUUAACCUUUUGGGCCACCCAGGGAGUCCUAAUCACCUUUUACCCCAGUCAUUCUCUAUUUCCUUCUUCUGCUUUAUUUAAAACCUGUUGCAGUCAAGUUGAUUCCUACUCAUAGCAACCAGUAGGGCAGAGUAGAGCUGCUCCACAGGGUUUCCAAGGCUGUAAAUCUUUAUGGAAGCAGACUGCCACAUCUUUCUCCUGUGGAAUGGCUGGUGGGUUUGAACUGCUGACCUUUUGGUUAACAGCUGAGCGCUUAACCACUUCACCACUGGGGCUCCUUCUGUUUUACUUACCAUGCCUAAUUAUAUUAUAUGCUAUUUAUUUUCUUAUUUUUUAUUGCCCGUCUUCCCAAUUAGAUUACAGAUUUCAUGAGAGCAGAGAGGUUGCCUAUGGUUAACCUGCAGGAUGUACAGUAUUGCCUGCCUGUUUAGAACACAGUGAUGUAUAUUUUAUAUGUUAAUUUCUGCUGUUAUGGUUCAUCUAGUGUCUUAAAUGCUCUGUUUUUAUGUGACUAAGUGUAACUUGGAGCUAUUGGUUGAAUUGGAAAAUAGAAUUUUAACCCCAUCACCCAUAAUAAUCAUUGUUUAUUUGAAUUCAUUUUCUGCAUUUUUCUAGUCAUUUGCUUCUAAAACAUCAGAAUGUUUCUGAAUUUUGCAAUGAUAUCGGAAUCUCAUGUUCUUCUAGUAUGGCAAAAAUUACAAUAUGUUGUGUAUGGAUACCCACCCACUGUCACUGAGUGGGUUCUGACUCAUAGCGACCCCAUAGGGUUUCCAAGGCUGUUAAUCUCUACGGAAGCAGACUGCUGCAUCUUUCUCCCUUGGAGCCACUGGUAGUUUCAAACCACAGACCUCUAGGUUAGCAGUCGAUUGCUUUAACCACUGUGCCACUAGGGCUUCUUUGUAUGGAUACUUACAUAAAAAAUUAUGAUAAUAUGUUAUAUGCAGAUACACCAUACUUAUUCAAUCUGUAUGCUGAGAAAAAUAAUCUGAGAAACUGGACUAUAUGAAGAAGAAUGCAGCAUCAGGAUUGGAGGAAGACUCAUUAACAACCUGCCAUAUGCAGGUGACACAACCUUGCUUGCUGAAGGUGAAGAGGCCUUGAAGCACUUAUUGAUGAAGAUCAAAGACCAUAGCCUUCAGUAUGGAUUACACCUCAACAUAAAAAAAAAAAAAAAAAUUCC